RNAcentral lists this unclassified non-coding RNA (286 nucleotides) under plant metagenome. RNAcentral describes it as "partial contains small subunit ribosomal RNA, internal transcribed spacer 1, and 5.8S ribosomal RNA". The stretch from base 1 to 54 matches the Rfam family "Eukaryotic small subunit ribosomal RNA", at positions 1778 to 1831 of the family's 1831-position model. The record is from RNAcentral.
GGAAGCAAAAGUCGUAACAAGGUUUCCGUAGGUGAACCUGCGGAAGGAUCAUUAUUGAAACUUCAUCCGGGGCGCCGCGGCCCUCAGCACCGGUGGAAACGCCGUGCUGCGGGGGCCGCGCGUGCACUCGUCCAAACCAAACCCCUGUGAACCUUACGGGAUGGCCCGGGUUAGCGCCCGGUGCCGUUCCGCUUUAUACAAACACUUAUCAAAGAAUGAACUGAAGGCGGUCUGACCGCUGGAUAACAAACUGAAACAACUUUCAACAACGGAUCUCUUGGCUCUC